UACGAAGGGGGCGAGCGUUGUUCGGAUUUACUGGGCGUAAAGGGCGCGCAGGCGGCUCAUUUUGUCAGGCGUGAAAGCCCCGGGCUUAACCUGGGAACUGCGUUUGAUACGGAUGGGCUAGAGUUCGGGAGAGGAGAGUGGAAUUCCCAGUGUAGAGGUGAAAUUCGUAGAUAUUGGGAAGAACACCGGUGGUGAAGGCGGCUCUCUGGACCGAGACUGACGCUGAGGCGCGAAAGCGUGGGGAGCAAACAGG
This 253-nucleotide ribosomal RNA is filed under the name uncultured bacterium. RNAcentral's name for it is "partial 16S ribosomal RNA". It matches the Rfam family "Bacterial small subunit ribosomal RNA", at positions 524 to 776 of the family's 1533-position model. The record is from RNAcentral.